Molecule: ribosomal RNA, 406 nt
Filed under: uncultured bacterium
Lineage: Bacteria
Description: partial 16S ribosomal RNA
Rfam family: Bacterial small subunit ribosomal RNA
Source: RNAcentral
AUUGAACGCUGGCGGCAGGCCUAACACAUGCAAGUCGAACGAGUGGCGGACGUGUGAGUAAUGUCUGGGAAUCUGCGUGAUGGAGGGGGAUAACUAGUGGAAACGGUAGCUAAUCCCGCAUACCAUCGGAUGUGCCCAGGUGGGUUUCGUUUGUAGGUGGGGUAAAGGCUCACCUAGGCGACGAUCCCUAGCUGGUAGGAGAGGAUGACGAGCCACACGGGAACUGAGACACGGUCCAGACUCCUACGUGAGGCAGCAGUGGGGAAUAUUGCACAAUGGGCGCAAGCCGGAUGCAGCCAUGCCGCGGGUAUGAAGAAGGCCUUCGGGUUGUAAAGUACUUGCAUCGGGGAGGCGUUACCCGCAGAAGAAGCACCGGCUAACUCCGUGCCAGCAGCCGCGGUAAUAC